CAAUAGCGUAUAUUAAAGUUGUUGCAGUUAAAAAGCUCGUAGUUGGAUUUCUGGUGGGAGCGAUCGGUCUGGCGCUUAGCGCGAGUACUUGCAUCGUCUCCGGCCAUCCUUGGGGAGAGUCUGUCUGGCAUUAGGUUGUCGGGCAGAGGAUCCUCAUCGUUUACUGUGAAAAAAUUAGAGUGUUCAAAGCAGGCUUAUGCCGUUGAAUAUAUUAGCAUGGAAUAAUAAGAUAGGACUUUGGUACUAUUUUGUUGGUUUGCGCACCAAAGUAAUGAUUAAUAGGGACAGUUGGGGGUAUUCGUAUACCGUUGUCAGAGGUGAAAUUCUUGGAUUUACGGAAGACGAACUACUGCGAAAGCAUUUACCAAGGAUGUUUUCAUUAA
RNAcentral lists this ribosomal RNA (383 nucleotides) under uncultured eukaryote. RNAcentral's name for it is "partial 18S ribosomal RNA". It matches the Rfam family "Eukaryotic small subunit ribosomal RNA", at positions 592 to 976 of the family's 1831-position model. The record is from RNAcentral.